Molecule: non-coding RNA, 28 nt
Filed under: Mus musculus (house mouse)
Lineage: Eukaryota; Metazoa; Chordata; Mammalia; Rodentia; Muridae
Source: RNAcentral
CCUAUAGGAAAUAUUACAGAUGGCACCA